This 497-nucleotide ribosomal RNA is filed under the name uncultured bacterium. Its description in RNAcentral is "partial 16S ribosomal RNA". It matches the Rfam family "Bacterial small subunit ribosomal RNA", at positions 28 to 507 of the family's 1533-position model. The record is from RNAcentral.
GAUGAACGCUGGCGGCGUGCCUAAUACAUGCCAGUCGAGCGGACGGACGAGAAGCUUGCUUCUCUGAUGUUAGCGGCGGACGGGUGAGUAACACGUGGAUAACCUACCUAUAAGACUGGGAUAACUUCGGGAAACCGUAGCUAAUACCGGAUAAUAUUUUGAACCGCAUGGUUCAAAAGUGAAAGACGGUCUUGCUGUCACUUAUAGAUGGAUCCGCGCUGCAUUAGCUAGUUGGUAAGGUAACGGCUUACCAAGGCAACGAUGCAUAGCCGACCUGAGAGGGUGAUCGGCCACACUGGAACUGAGACACGGUCCAGACUCCUACGGGAGGCAGCAGUAGGGAAUCUUCCGCAAUGGGCGAAAGCCUGACGGAGCAACGCCGCGUGAGUGAUGAAGGUCUUCGGAUCGUAAAACUCUGUUAUUAGGGAAGAACAUAUGUGUAAGUAACUGUGCACAUCUUGACGGUACCUAAUCAGAAAGCCACGGCUAACUACGUG